UCCUGACCAUUAGCUCUUUAGGUUUGCCUUUAGAGCUGUGGACCAGGAGACCAUAGAAGCCUGCAAAAGAGCAGUGUAAUUUAUAUAUAUAUAUAUGACAUCCAUACAGGAUACAAAGUCUGUUAGCACAAAUCUCCUCAGACUUCUGCUCCUCCUGUCCUUCAAAGUAACCUAAAUAAUGACAGCCAAGUGUGAGCAACCAAGCUCUGCUAAUAAACAAGGAACAGGCCCAAAAGAAUGUGCUUUUCUACUGGUGGUUUGGUUUUCUAACUGUGACCUUCGAGAGAUGUUGCCUCAGCUUCUGGUCUACCACAUGGAACCCUGACACUAAACCUGGGUUCACGGGCCAAAGAGUAGGGAGGGAAGCGCCAUAUGAGGAGGCUGUUUUCUCCUGCCAGAGGAAUGGAGGAAAAGCAAGAGAACCAUAGUCCAACUGCGUUGAUGUUGAACAUCCUCUAAAUGACAGCUGUGGAAGCUGAACCACGUGUGAGGCCCCGAGCCACAGCAUCCUUCCGGCUCUGGAAACCCAAGUGGGUCACCCUUCACUACGCUUCUUGGCCCAAGAAGUCAGUGCAAAGCAGCAGGUGGCACUGAGAGCAGGGCAUUCUCCCUCCACUCCCCGGUGCAUGUGAAGCACCCUGAGGUCUACGAAUCUGAUGCUUACUGUGAAAAAAGAAGGGAGCCUCUGAAAAGUGAUCUUGCAAGACUUUUAAACAAAUGUCCUCGGAUGCACUCUGCCUAAGCUCAGAAGACACCAAAA
This is a non-coding RNA of Odocoileus virginianus texanus, 760 nucleotides long. Lineage: Eukaryota; Metazoa; Chordata; Mammalia; Artiodactyla; Cervidae. The record is from RefSeq and is a predicted model, not a curated record.